ACGGCGAGUGAAGCGGCAACAGCUCAAAUUUGAAAUCUGGCCUCACGGUCCGAGUUGUAAUUUGUAGAGGAUGUUUUGGGCACCGCGCCGGUGUAAAUUUCUUGGAACAGAAUGUCAAAGAGGGUGAGAAUCCCGUCUUGGAUCGGCGUAGGGCCCGUGUAAAACUCCUUCGACGAGUCGACUUGUUUGGGAAUGCAGGUCAAAAUGGGAGGUAAAUUUCUUCUAAAGCUAAAUAUUGGCCAGAGACCGAUAGCGCACAAGUAGAGUGAUCGAAAGAUGAAAAGCACUUUGAAAAGAGAGUUAAACAGUAUGUGAAAUUGUUGAAAGGGAAGCGCUGGCAACCAGACUCGAGCGCGGGGUUCCCCCUGGCUUCUGCCAGGGUCACUUCCCCGUGUCCGGGCCAUCAUCAGUUUCGGGGGCCGGUCAAAGGCGAUGGGAAUGUAUGCACUCCUCCGGGGGUGCACUUAUAGCCCAACGUGUCAUGCGGCCUCCCGGGACUGAGGAACGCGCUUCGGCGAGGAUGAUGGCGUAAUGGUUGUCAGCGACCCGUCUUGAAACACGGACCAAGGAGUCUAACAUCUAUGCGAGUGUUCGGGUGUCAAACCCCUGCGCGGAAUGAAAGUGAACGGAGGUCGGAAGGCUUAUGCCUGCACGAUCGACCGAUCCUGAUGUCUUCGGAUGGAUUUGAGUAAGAGCAUAGCUGUUGGGACCCGAAAGAUGGUGAACUAUGCGUGAAUAGGGUGAAGCCAGAGGAAACUCUGGUGGAGGCUCGCAGCGGUUCUGACGUGCAAAUCGAUCGUCAAAUUUGCGUAUAGGGGCGAAAGAC
This 826-nucleotide ribosomal RNA is filed under the name Lithohypha catenulata. RNAcentral's name for it is "partial 28S ribosomal RNA". It matches the Rfam family "Eukaryotic large subunit ribosomal RNA", at positions 86 to 931 of the family's 3401-position model. Lineage: Eukaryota; Fungi; Ascomycota; Eurotiomycetes; Chaetothyriales; Trichomeriaceae. The record is from RNAcentral.